AGACCCGAAACCCGGUGAUCUAGCCAUGGGCAGGUUGAAGGUUGGGUAACACUAACUGGAGGACCGAACCGACUAAUGUUGAAAAAUUAGCGGAUGACCUGUGGCUGGGGGUGAAAGGCCAAUCAAACCGGGAGAUAGCUGGUUCUCCCCGAAAGCUAUUUAGGUAGCGCCUCGUGAAUUCAUCUCCGGGGGUAGAGCACUGUUUCGGCUAGGGGGCCAUCCCGGCUUACCAACCCGAUGCAAACUGCGAAUACCGGAGAAUGUUAUCACGGGAGACACACGGCGGGUGCUAACGUCCGUCGUGAAGAGGGAAACAACCCAGACCGCCAGCUAAGGUCCCAAAGUCAUGGUUAAGUGGGAAACGAUGUGGGAAGGCCCAGACAGCCAGGAUGUUGGCUUAGAAGCAGCCAUCAUUUAAAGAAAGCGUAAUAGCUCACUGGUCGAGUCGGCCUGCGCGGAAGAUGUAACGGGGCUAA
Molecule: ribosomal RNA, 476 nt
Filed under: Salmonella enterica
Lineage: Bacteria; Pseudomonadati; Pseudomonadota; Gammaproteobacteria; Enterobacterales; Enterobacteriaceae
Also listed under: 2 other names
Description: partial 23S ribosomal RNA
Rfam family: Bacterial large subunit ribosomal RNA
Source: RNAcentral